This 89-nucleotide small RNA is filed under the name Epilithonimonas lactis. RNAcentral describes it as "Chryseobacterium halperniae Flavo-1 RNA". It matches the Rfam family "Flavo-1 RNA". The record is from RNAcentral. Lineage: Bacteria; Pseudomonadati; Bacteroidota; Flavobacteriia; Flavobacteriales; Weeksellaceae.
CUGCAAAAGGGAUGGAAGUGGAUAUCCUUUUUCUUGGGCAGGCAAAAGCUGAGGCAAGAAAAAGAUAGUAACGGACAGCCCGACCCGAG